CCUACGGGUGGCAGCAGUGAGGAAUAUUGGUCAAUGGCCGGAAGGCUGAACCAGCCAUGCCGCGUGAAGGGCAGGGCCCUAGGGGCGGGAAACUUCUGGGGGGCGGGAGCAAUAAUGGGCACGUGUGGCCAGACGAGAGUACCGUACGAAUAAGCAUCGGCUAACUCCGUUCCAGCAGCCGCGGUAAUACGGGGGAUGCAAGCGUUAUCCGGAUUUAUUGGGUUUAAAGGGUGCGUAGGCUGGGAGGUAAGUCAGCGGGGAAAUGCCCCCGCUCAACGGGGUGAAGUGCCAUUGAUACUGCCUUGCUGGAAUGCGGAUGCCGUGGGCGGAAUGUGUGGUGUAGCGGUGAACUGCAUAGAUAUCACACAGAACACCGAUUGCGAAGGCAUCUCACGAAGCCGCGAUUGACGCUGAUGCACGAAAGCGUGGGUAUCAAACAGGAUUAGAUACCCCUGUAGUC
RNAcentral lists this ribosomal RNA (460 nucleotides) under uncultured bacterium. RNAcentral describes it as "partial 16S ribosomal RNA". It matches the Rfam family "Bacterial small subunit ribosomal RNA", at positions 338 to 795 of the family's 1533-position model. The record is from RNAcentral.